This 253-nucleotide ribosomal RNA is filed under the name uncultured bacterium. RNAcentral describes it as "partial 16S ribosomal RNA". It matches the Rfam family "Bacterial small subunit ribosomal RNA", at positions 524 to 776 of the family's 1533-position model. The record is from RNAcentral.
UACGUAGGUGGCAAGCGUUGUCCGGAAUUAUUGGGCGUAAAGGGCGUGUAGGCGGUAUAAUAAGUCUGAUGUGAAAUCUCAUAGCUCAACUAUGAAACUGCAUUGGAAACUGUUAAACUAGAGUAUCGGAGAGGAAAGCGGAAUUCCAUGUGUAGCGGUGAAAUGCGUAGAUAUAUGGAGGAACACCAGUGGCGAAGGCGGCUUUCUGGACGAUUACUGACGCUGAGGCGCGAAAGCGUGGGGAGCAAACAGG